RNAcentral lists this ribosomal RNA (1096 nucleotides) under Acinetobacter sp. RNAcentral describes it as "bacterial SSU rRNA". It matches the Rfam family "Bacterial small subunit ribosomal RNA", at positions 35 to 1089 of the family's 1533-position model. The record is from RNAcentral. Lineage: Bacteria; Pseudomonadati; Pseudomonadota; Gammaproteobacteria; Moraxellales; Moraxellaceae.
GGGGACGGGGCGGCUUACCAUGCAAGUCGAGCGGAGUGAUGGUGCUUGCACUAUCACUUAGCGGCGGACGGGCCAGUAAUGCUUAGGAAUCUGCCUAUUAGUGGGGGACAACAUCUCCUAAGGGAUGCUAAUACCGCAUACGUCCUACGGGAGAAAGCAGGGGAUCACUUGUGACCUUGCGCUAAUAGAUGAGCCUAAGUCGGAUUAGCUAGUUGGUGGGGUAAAGGCCUACCAAGGCGACGAUCUGUAGCGGGUCUGAGAGGAUGAUCCGCCACACUGGGACUGAGACACGGCCCAGACUCCUACGGGAGGCAGCAGUGGGGAAUAUUGGACAAUGGGGGGAACCCUGAUCCAGCCAUGCCGCGUGUGUGAAGAAGGCCUUAUGGGUGUUAAGCCCUUUAAUCGAGGAGGAGGCUCUUUUGGGUAAUACCCUCUAUGAGUGGGCGUUUCUCCCAGAAUAAAAGCCGGGGGAAGCUGUGCCCCCACCCGCGGGGGUACAGAAGGGGGUCACCGCGUUCGCCCGGAUUUACGCGACAUGCUCCCCGCUUAGGCGGCCCCUCAGGCCAUUGGUGAGACCCCCAACCUUAGCUGGGUACUCGCAUUCGAGACUGGUUGCCUAGAGUGUGGCACAGGAUGGUACAAUUCGGCGUGUACGGGAGAAAUGCGUCGAUAACGGCAGGAACUACCGAGGGUAAAGGACCCUGUCUGCUCCAAAUGCUGACGCUGAGCUGCGACAGUGUGGGGACCAAAUGGGGAUUAUCUCCCUCGGUAUUCCUCGCGAUAACCGAUGUUCUACAACGCUGUGGGGGGCUAUUGCAGCCUUUCGUGCCCCAGCUUCGGGCGAAAAGUAAACCGACUGGGGUACCACGGUCCGCAGGACGGAGAACUCCAAAUGAAGUUGAAGGGGGCCCGCCAAAGGCGGUGUAGCAUGCGGUUUAACUCGAAUGCAGCGUGGAACCAUCUUUACUUGCCCUUGACUUAGGAACAAACUUUUCCAGAAGUUGGAUUGCUUGCUUUCGGGGAUUCUACUUACGGGUGGCUGAAAAGACAUGACGACCCCCCCCCGGCCAGGGAAAGGGUUGGGUUAAAACUCCCG